ACAGCAGUCGCCGCGGGAAUACGUAGGGUGCAAGCGUUAAUCGGAAUUACUGGGCGUAAAGCGUGCGCAGGCGGUUAUAUAAGUCAGAUGUGAAAUCCCCGGGCUCAACCUGGGAACUGCAUUUGAGACUGUAUAACUAGAGUACGGUAGAGGGGGAUGGAAUUCCGCGUGUAGCAGUGAAAUGCGUAGAUAUGCGGAGGAACACCGAUGGCGAAGGCAAUCCCCUGGACCUGUACUGACGCUCAUGCACGAAAGCGUGGGGAGCAAACAGGAUUAGAUACCCCAGUAGUCCCUGUCUCUUAUAC
Molecule: ribosomal RNA, 305 nt
Filed under: uncultured bacterium
Lineage: Bacteria
Description: partial 16S ribosomal RNA
Rfam family: Bacterial small subunit ribosomal RNA
Source: RNAcentral